AAAGUAGCCCCAAACCUAGGCCGAGGCUUGACCUAACCCAACAUCUGAUCGGGCUUCGACAUCUGGUUUCCAUUCGACUUCAAGGACUUCACCCUCAACACCUCCCUCUCCUCGUUUCUCGGCCCUUCUUUCCCCAACAAGACUUCUGCCUUUGCUGGCACCCCACAUUAACUAGAAAGAUAUUAGGAGGCCUUUUUUUCUUUUUACUACAACAAUGAGUCAUAUAAGUCUAGUGUGAAUAUAUCCAAAAAAAUCAGAAAGUAAUAAGUCUCAAAGCGCUCUAGGUAGCUUCCUCUCA
Molecule: long non-coding RNA, 298 nt
Filed under: Phoenix dactylifera (date palm)
Lineage: Eukaryota; Viridiplantae; Streptophyta; Magnoliopsida; Arecales; Arecaceae
Description: long non-coding RNA (PDAC_LNC005740)
Source: RNAcentral